GUGUCAGCAGCCGCGGUAAUACCAGCUCCUCGAGUGGUCGGGGCGAUUAUUGGGCCUAAAGCAUCCGUAGCCGGUUCCGUAGGUCCUCUGUUAAAUCCAACCGCUUAACGGUUGACCUGCAGAGGAUACCGCGGGACUAGGAGGCGGGAGAGGCGGACGGUACUCCGCGUGUAGGGGUAAAAUCCUUUGAUCCGCGGAAGACCACCAGUGGCGAAGGCGGUCCGCCAGAACGCGCUCGACGGUGAGGGAUGAAAGCUGGGGGAGCGAACCGGAUUAGAUACCCGGGUAGUCCCAGCCGUAAACGAUGCUAGCUAGAUGAUUCAUUCGCAAGUCGCGAAUGAAGUGUCGCAGGGAAGCCGUUAAGCUAGCCGCCUGGGGAGUACGGUCGCAAGACUGAA
Molecule: ribosomal RNA, 398 nt
Filed under: uncultured bacterium
Lineage: Bacteria
Description: bacterial SSU rRNA
Rfam family: Archaeal small subunit ribosomal RNA
Source: RNAcentral